AUUGAGCACUGGCCCUAUGCAGACACUAUUCUGGGAGUCAGGGAUUCAAUAGUGAACAAGUUCGAUUUUUAGAUUUGGUCCCUGCCUUGAUGGAGCUUUCAGUCUAAAAGGUGAUGGCAGCUGGGAACAAGACAGGCAGAGACAAGAGAAACAAAAAUAAUACAGCCCCUGCUUUGGGCUGUGCUUCUGUUGCCAUGGUGAUGUUGACACGUGACACACAGCCCAAUUCCUCUUAUUAUUGCCUCUUUGGAAAUAAAAGUUAAUCAUCACCUGUACACUCUGUACAGUAACCCAGGAGGUAAGAUAAAGAAAAAACAAACCCACAGCUGAAGUAUGGACUCUGUUCGUUUCAGCACUAC
Diceros bicornis minor is the source of this 359-nucleotide long non-coding RNA. RefSeq lists it as uncharacterized. Lineage: Eukaryota; Metazoa; Chordata; Mammalia; Perissodactyla; Rhinocerotidae. The transcript has 3 exons. The record is from RefSeq and is a predicted model, not a curated record.